GGGAAACAUAUCCACCCACAUCUCAACACGGCCCUUUGGACACAAAGAGAGAACAAUAUUGUCGUCGGUUCCCACCAAGUCCCAGUCGUACACGGACACCGUCAGCAUGGACUCCAUGGGGAAAGUGGCCUCGAUGUCGAAUGAUCUGAACACCGAGGAAGAGAGGACAGAAGUGAAUUCAAAUACAAAGAGACCAGAUUCUGGUCUCAAAUGCUGGACCAUAUAAAACAGCUUGAUGACAAUGUACGGAUCGGCCUUCCCGUUGAUAUCGGCGGGAUGAAGAUCUGUAGCCUGGCAACCGUAUAAACAAAACAGAAGAUGAAGAAUAUUGAUCUGAUUCUGUUUAUUUUACGACGAUGUGUGACAUGACGUGGCGUGUAGAGACGGCUCCUCACCCUGACGACGUAGACGCGGACGAGGACGUUGAUCGGAUCGUUAUGUGGGAUGCUUUGGAACAUGCCCAUAUUGGGAUCAAACCCCGCCUCUCUCGUGAUCUCCUCAGACAAAGGAAGCUUGUACAUACACAGGGAUCCCUGCGUCACAGAGAGACAGCAGGUUACACCGUAAACGUCUCUCAGGUUGAACGUAUGAAGCCAGUCCUCAAAGGUGCCAUACUCACUCUCCAGCUCCUUGUUGUAAACCUGGACAGGACGUCAAACACACCAGGUGUGAAUCUGUGUGGUUUGUAUCUGCCCAAGCAGGAAUCGUACUCACCACCA
Solea senegalensis (Senegalese sole) is the source of this 719-nucleotide long non-coding RNA. RefSeq lists it as uncharacterized. NCBI's taxonomy places the organism in Eukaryota, Metazoa, Chordata, Actinopteri, Pleuronectiformes, Soleidae. The record is from RefSeq and is a predicted model, not a curated record. The transcript is spliced from 4 exons.